Molecule: ribosomal RNA, 424 nt
Filed under: uncultured bacterium
Lineage: Bacteria
Description: bacterial SSU rRNA
Rfam family: Bacterial small subunit ribosomal RNA
Source: RNAcentral
AUCUUGCGCAAUGGCCGAAAGGCUGACGCAGCGACGCCGCGUGCGGGAGGACGCUUUUCGGAGUGUAAACCGCUGUCAGGUGGGACGAAGGUCCGGGGGAGGAAAUGCUCUCGGGAUGACGGUACCGCCAAAGGAAGCACCGGCUAACUCCGUGCCAGCAGCCGCGGUAAUACGGAGGGUGCGAGCGUUGUUCGGAAUUAUUGGGCGUAAAGCGCACGUAGGCGGCUUUGUAAGUCUCACUGUGAAAGCCCGGGGCUCAACCUCGGGACUGCAGGGGAUACUGCGAGGCUUGAGUCAAGUAGAGGUUGGUAGAAUUCCGGGUGUAGCGGUGGAAUGCGUAGAGAUCCGGAGGAAUACCAGAGGCGAAGGCGGCCAACUGGACUUGUACUGACGCUGAGGUGCGAAAGCGUGGGGAGCGAACAGG